This 449-nucleotide ribosomal RNA is filed under the name uncultured bacterium. Its description in RNAcentral is "partial 16S ribosomal RNA". It matches the Rfam family "Bacterial small subunit ribosomal RNA", at positions 29 to 523 of the family's 1533-position model. The record is from RNAcentral.
AACGAACGCUGGCGGCAUGCCUAACACAUGCAAGUCGAAUGAACCCUUCGGGGUUAGUGGCGCACGGGUGCGUAACACGUGGGAAUCUGCCCUUUGCUUCGGAAUAACAGUUAGAAAUGACUGCUAAUACCGGAUAAUGUCGCAAGACCAAAGAUUUAUCGGCAAAGGAUGAGCCCGCGUAGGAUUAGCUUGUUGGUGGGGUAAUGGCCCACCAAGGCGACGAUCCUUAGCUGGUCUGAGAGGAUGAUCAGCCACACUGGGACUGAGACACGGCCCAGACUCCUACGGGAGGCAGCAGUGGGGCAUAUUGGACAAUGGGCGAAAGCCUGAUCCACCAAUGCCGCGUGAGUGAUGAAGGCCUUAGGGUUGUAAAGCUCUUUUACCAGGGAUGAUAAUGACAGUACCUGGAGAAUAAGCUCCGGCUAACUCCGUGCCAGCAGCCGCCGUAA